Molecule: long non-coding RNA, 300 nt
Filed under: Elaeis guineensis (African oil palm)
Lineage: Eukaryota; Viridiplantae; Streptophyta; Magnoliopsida; Arecales; Arecaceae
Description: long non-coding RNA (EGUI_LNC033115)
Source: RNAcentral
UGAUCAAUGGACAAAAUAAAAUAUCUAUAACCUAGUCAAGGAAGAAUUGGAGAUAGACCUAUAAAUCACUAUGAAUCAAAUCAAAUGGUUCAUCAACUUGGGAAUUACUAGAAGAAAGAGGUAAUUUGAAAGCUUUUCUAAGAGCACAACUUUCACACUUAUACUCAAGAAAUAUAGAUUUGAUAUUUAAUUUGUUUGGAAGAAGAUUAGACAAACAUAUGCUAUAGUCUAAUAGCAUGAGGGUGUCCAAGAUGAUGGUGCCAAAGAUCCCAAGUUUUAUCUACAAAAGAGAGAGAUGGA